This 506-nucleotide ribosomal RNA is filed under the name uncultured bacterium. RNAcentral's name for it is "bacterial SSU rRNA". It matches the Rfam family "Bacterial small subunit ribosomal RNA", at positions 19 to 518 of the family's 1533-position model. The record is from RNAcentral.
CUGGCUCAGGAUGAACGCUAGCUACAGGCUUAACACAUGCAAGUCAGGGGCAUCAUUUCGAAAGCUUGCUUUGAAGAUGGCGACCGGCGCACGGGUGAGUAACGCGUAUCCAACCUUCCCUUAGUAGGGCAUAGCCCGGCGAAAGUCGGAUUAAUACCCUAUGUUCUUUACGGAUGGCAUCUGAAGUAAAGCAAAGAUUUAUCGCUAAGGGAUGGGGAUGCGUCUGAUUAGGUGUUGGCGGGUAACGCCCACCAAGCCUACGAUCAGUAGGGGUUCUGAGAGGAAGGUCCCCCACAUUGGUACUGAGACACGGACCAAACUCCUACGGGAGGCAGCAGUGAGGAAUAUUGGUCAAUGGGCGAGAGCCUGAACCAGCCAAGUAGCGUGCAAGGGAUGACGGCCCUAUGGGUUGUAGACUGCUUUUGUCAGGGGAUAAAAAAGAGAACGUGUUCUCUAUUGCAUGUACCUGAAGAAUAAGGACCGGCUAAUUCCGUGCCAGCAGCGGC